This 70-nucleotide transfer RNA is filed under the name Marmota monax (woodchuck). Its description in RNAcentral is "tRNA.Undet". It matches the Rfam family "tRNA", at positions 6 to 65 of the family's 71-position model. Rfam says of the family: Transfer RNA (tRNA) molecules are approximately 80 nucleotides in length. Their secondary structure includes four short double-helical elements and three loops (D, anti-codon, and T loops). The record is from RNAcentral. Lineage: Eukaryota; Metazoa; Chordata; Mammalia; Rodentia; Sciuridae.
GGUUUGUAGCUCAAUGGUAGAGCAUUUGCCUCGCCACAUGCAUGAGGUCCUGGGUUCAGUCCCAGCACCA